This 468-nucleotide ribosomal RNA is filed under the name uncultured bacterium. RNAcentral's name for it is "bacterial SSU rRNA". It matches the Rfam family "Bacterial small subunit ribosomal RNA", at positions 329 to 795 of the family's 1533-position model. The record is from RNAcentral.
UACCAGACUCCUACGGGAGGCAGCAGUGAGGAAUAUUGGUCAAUGGCCGGGAGGCUGAACCAGCCAAGUCGCGUGAGGGAAGACGGCCCUACGGGUUGUAAACCUCUUUUGUCGGGGAGCAAAAGACGCCACGCGUGGCGUUCCGAGAGUACCCGAAGAAAAAGCAUCGGCUAACUCCGUGCCAGCAGCCGCGGUAAUACGGAGGAUGCGAGCGUUAUCCGGAUUUAUUGGGUUUAAAGGGUGCGUAGGCGGAAUGCCAAGUCAGCGGUAAAAUCGCGGGGCUCAACCUCGCUCCGCCGUUGAAACUGGCAGUCUCGAGUUGGAGAGAAGUAUGCGGAAUGCGCGGUGUAGCGGUGAAAUGCAUAGAUAUCGCGCAGAACUCCGAUUGCGAAGGCAGCAUGCCGGCUCCACACUGACGCUGAGGCACGAAAGCGUGGGUAUCGAACAGGAUUAGAUACCCCGGUAAAC